UGAACGCUGGCGGCGUGCCUAAUACAUGCAAGUCGAGCGAACAGACGAGGAGUUUGCUCCUCUGACGUUAGCGGCGGACGGGUGAGUAACACGUGGAUAACCUACCUAUAAGACUGGGAUAACUUCGGGAAACCGGAGCUAAUACCGGAUAAUAUAUUGAACCGCAUGGUUCAAUAGUGAAAGACGGUUUUGCUGUCACUUAUAGAUGGAUCCGCGCCGCAUUAGCUAGUUGGUAAGGUAACGGCUUACCAAGGCGACGAUGCGUAGCCGACCUGAGAGGGUGAUCGGCCACACUGGAACUGAGACACGGUCCAGACUCCUACGGGAGGCAGCAGUAGGGAAUCUUCCGCAAUGGGCGAAAGCCUGACGGAGCAACGCCGCGUGAGUGAUGAAGGUCUUCGGAUCGUAAAACUCUGUUAUUAGGGAAGAACAAAUGUGUAAGUAACUAUGCACGUCUUGACGGUACCUAAUCAGAAAGCCACGGCUAACUACGUG
This 495-nucleotide ribosomal RNA is filed under the name uncultured bacterium. RNAcentral's name for it is "partial 16S ribosomal RNA". It matches the Rfam family "Bacterial small subunit ribosomal RNA", at positions 30 to 507 of the family's 1533-position model. The record is from RNAcentral.